AACGAACGCUGGCGGCAGGCCUAACACAUGCAAGUCGAACGCUCCGCAAGGGGGAGUGGCGCACGGGUGAGUAACACGUGGGAACCUACCUUCUGGUACGGAACAACCAAGGGAAACUUUGGCUAAGACCGUAUACGACCUCCGGGUGAAAGAUUGAUCGCCGGAAGAGGGGCCCGCGUCCGAUUAGGUAGUUGGUGAGGUAACGGCUCACCAAGCCUUCGAUCGGUAGCUGGUCUGAGAGGAUGACCAGCCACACUGGGACUGAGACACGGCCCAGACUCCUACGGGAGGCAGCAGUGGGGAAUAUUGGACAAUGGGCGCAAGCCUGAUCCAGCCAUGCCGCGUGAGGGAUGACGGCCU
This 360-nucleotide ribosomal RNA is filed under the name uncultured bacterium. RNAcentral's name for it is "bacterial SSU rRNA". It matches the Rfam family "Bacterial small subunit ribosomal RNA", at positions 29 to 417 of the family's 1533-position model. The record is from RNAcentral.